CGCGGGUUAGUGAAAAGGUAUCAUGAGGGGCUCAUUACCCCAAGUUCUGGGUUCGAAUCCCAGGCCCGCUA
Molecule: transfer RNA, 71 nt
Filed under: Caudoviricetes sp.
Lineage: Duplodnaviria; Heunggongvirae; Uroviricota; Caudoviricetes
Description: tRNA-Met
Rfam family: tRNA
About the family: Transfer RNA (tRNA) molecules are approximately 80 nucleotides in length. Their secondary structure includes four short double-helical elements and three loops (D, anti-codon, and T loops).
Source: RNAcentral